This 528-nucleotide long non-coding RNA is filed under the name Gallus gallus (chicken). Lineage: Eukaryota; Metazoa; Chordata; Aves; Galliformes; Phasianidae. The record is from RNAcentral.
UGGAAGGAUCACCGAGGGGCCAUUGUUGGGGGAUAUGGCUGGAGAUAUACUCUGGGAAGGAGGUGCUCUGUGUCAACAAAAACAAGGGAAGAUGAGCCAAGCAAAAUGGGGAUGAAAGAUGUUUAAGGUAACCGUAUAACUGAAGAGUUGACAAAGCCAACCAAGACACUGCCUGGACCUAUGAUAAGGCACUAGAAAAUCCAGGGAUCAUCUGGAAUGCAAAAUUAAGGGAUCCAUUAGAAUGGAGGUAUCACGGCUGUCUUCUGGAUCACUGGAUUUUCAAUUCUGUUGACCACUGCAUGAAGGAAGAAAAAUCGUGAGUAGUCACUAUUUCAUGGUAGCACACAGUCCAGUGAUUAGGAUUUUAUCUAAGAAGGUUUAACUUUAAGUAUAUGUAGGAAAUGGUCACAUGUACAAAGAGAAGAAGAUAAAGAUGUAAUAUAGAGACUGCCCAAUCUUAGAUCCUAACAAAUUUUGGUCUCCAAUUAGGUUGAGAUUGCCCAGUGAAGUGAAGCUCAUGUCACUGAC